This 63-nucleotide transfer RNA is filed under the name Shinisaurus crocodilurus (Chinese crocodile lizard). Its description in RNAcentral is "tRNA-Cys". Lineage: Eukaryota; Metazoa; Chordata; Lepidosauria; Squamata; Shinisauridae. The record is from RNAcentral.
AAGUCCGGGAGAUCUUAGAUCUCCUUUCCAAGUUUGCAACUUGGCGUGAAACACUGCCGAACU